RNAcentral lists this ribosomal RNA (469 nucleotides) under uncultured bacterium. RNAcentral describes it as "partial 16S ribosomal RNA". It matches the Rfam family "Bacterial small subunit ribosomal RNA", at positions 28 to 507 of the family's 1533-position model. The record is from RNAcentral.
GACGAACGCUGGCGGCGUGCUUAACACAUGCCAGUCGAACGGAAAGGCCCUGCUUGCGGGGUGCUCGAGUGGCGAACGGGUGAGUAACACGUGGGUGAUCUGCCCCUUACUUUGGGAUAAGCCUGUGAAACUGGGUCUAAUACUGGAUAGGACCAUGCUGUAGGUGGUGUGGUGGAAAGAUUAGUUUCGUUAAGGGAUGAGCUCGCGGCCUAUCAGCUUGUUGGUGGGGUAAUGGCCUACCAAGGCGUCGACGGGUAGCCGGCCUGAGAGGGUGGACGGCCACAUUGGGACUGCGACACGGCCCAGAAUCCUACGGGCGGCAGCAGUGGGGAAUAUUGUAAAAUGGGAGCAAGCCUGAUGCAGCGACGCCGCGUGGGGGAUGAAGGCCUUCGGGUUGUAAAGUCCUUUCAGCCAUGGAGAAGCGCUUGUGGUGACGGUAGUGGUAGAAGAAGCAACGGCUAACUACGUG